RNAcentral lists this ribosomal RNA (446 nucleotides) under uncultured bacterium. RNAcentral's name for it is "partial 16S ribosomal RNA". It matches the Rfam family "Bacterial small subunit ribosomal RNA", at positions 329 to 792 of the family's 1533-position model. The record is from RNAcentral.
UCCCAGACUCCUACGGGAGGCAGCAGUGGGGAAUAUUGCACAAUGGGGGAAACCCUGAUGCAGCAACGCCGCGUGAGUGAAGAAGUCAUUCGUGAUGUAAAGCUCUAUCAGCAGAGAAGAAAAUGACGGUACCUGAAGAAGAAGCCCCGGCUAACUACGUGCCAGCAGCCGCGGUAAUACGUAGGGGGCAAGCGUUAUCCGGAUUUACUGGGUGUAAAGGGGGCGCAGACGGCGAUGCAAGCCAGGAGUGAAAGCCCGGGGCCCAACCCCGGGACUGCUCUUGGAACUGCGUGGCUGGAGUGCAGGAGGGGCAGGCGGAAUUCCUGGUGUAGCGGUGAAAUGCGUAGAUAUUAGGAGGAACACCAGUGGCGAAGGCGGCCUGCUGGACGAUGACUGACGCUGAGGCUCGAAAGCGUGGGGAGCAAACAGGAUUAGAUACCCUCGUA